GCCUGGAGCGGUGGCUCGUGCCUGUUGUCCCAGCUACUCAGGAGGCUGAGGUGGGAGGAUCGCUUCAGCCCAGGAGUUCUGGGCUGUAGUGCUAUACCAAUCAAGUGUCUGCACUAAGUUCGGCAUCAAUAUGGUGACCUCCCGGGAGCGAGGGACCACCAGGUUGCCUAAGGAGGGGUGAACCGGCCCAGGUCGGAAACGGAGCAGGCCAAAACUCCCAUGCUGAUUGGUAAUGGGAUCGCACCUGUGAGUAGCCACUGCACUCCAGCCUGGGCAACAUAGCAAGAUCCUGUCUCU
RNAcentral lists this signal recognition particle RNA (297 nucleotides) under Saimiri boliviensis boliviensis (Bolivian squirrel monkey). Its description in RNAcentral is "Metazoan signal recognition particle RNA (ENSSBOG00000000515.1)". It matches the Rfam family "Metazoan signal recognition particle RNA". Rfam says of the family: The signal recognition particle (SRP) is a universally conserved ribonucleoprotein. Lineage: Eukaryota; Metazoa; Chordata; Mammalia; Primates; Cebidae. The record is from RNAcentral.